Molecule: ribosomal RNA, 254 nt
Filed under: uncultured bacterium
Lineage: Bacteria
Description: partial 16S ribosomal RNA
Rfam family: Bacterial small subunit ribosomal RNA
Source: RNAcentral
UACGUAGGGUCCGAGCGUUGUCCGGAUUUAUUGGGCGUAAAGAGCUCGUAGGCGGUUCCGUAAGUCAGAUGUGAAAACUCAGGGCUCAACCCGGAGACGCCAUCUGAUACUGCGGUGACUGGAGUCUGGUAGGGGAACACGGAAUUCCUGGUGUAGCGGUGAAAUUCGUAGAUAUUAGGAAGAACACCGGUGGCGAAGGCGGCCCACUGGCUCGAUACUGACGCUGAGGUGCGAAAGCGUGGGGAGCAAACAGG